Molecule: ribosomal RNA, 601 nt
Filed under: uncultured bacterium
Lineage: Bacteria
Description: bacterial SSU rRNA
Rfam family: Bacterial small subunit ribosomal RNA
Source: RNAcentral
CGGUUGGAUUAGUGGCGAACGGGUGAGUAUCACGUGAGUAACCUUCCCUUGACUCUGGGAUAAGCCCGGGAAACUGGGUCUAAUACCGGAUACGACCAGUCCUCGCAUGGGGUGCUGGUGGAAAGAUUUAUCGGUCUUGGAUGGACUCGCGGCCUAUCAGCUUGUUGGUGAGGUAAUAGCUCACCAAGGCGAUGACGGGUAGCCGGCCUGAGAGGGUGACCGGCCACACUGGGACUGAGACACGGCCCAGACUCCUACGGGAGGCAGCAGUGGGGAAUAUUGCACAAUGGGCGAAAGCCUGAUGCAGCGACGCCGCGUGCGGGAUGACGGCCUUCGGGUUGUAAACCGCUUUCAGCAGGGAAGAAGCGAAAGUGACGGUACCUGCAGAAGAAGCGCCGGCUAACUACGUGCCAGCAGCCGCGGUAAUACGUAGGGCGCGAGCGUUAUCCGGAAUUAUUGGGCGUAAAGAGCUCGUAGGCGGUUUGUCACGUCUGCUGUGAAAGCCCGGGGCUCAACCCCGGGUGUGCAGUGGGUACGGGCAGACUAGAGUGCAGUAGGGGAGACUGGAAUUCCUGGUGUAGCGGUGAAAUGCGCAGAUAUC